GCCUACGGGACGCAGCAGUAGGGAAUCUUCCACAAUGGGCGAAAGCCUGAUGGAGCAACACCGCGUGGGUGAAGAAGGUCUUCGGAUCGUAAAACCCUGUUGUUAGAGAAGAAAGUGCGUGAGAGUAACUGUUCACGUUUCGACGGUAUCUAACCAGAAAGCCACGGCUAACUACGUGCCAGCAGCCGCGGUAAUACGUAGGUGGCAAGCAUCAUCCGGAUUUAUUGGGCGUAAAGGGAACGCAGGCGGUCUUUUAAGUCUGAUGUGAAAGCCUUCGGCUUAACCGGAGUAGUGCAUUGGAAACU
Molecule: ribosomal RNA, 305 nt
Filed under: uncultured bacterium
Lineage: Bacteria
Description: bacterial SSU rRNA
Rfam family: Bacterial small subunit ribosomal RNA
Source: RNAcentral